AUGAACGCUAGCGACAGGCUUAACACAUGCAAGUCGAGGGGCAGCAUAAAAGUAGCAAUACUUGGUGGCGACCGGCGCACGGGUGAGUAACGCGUAUGCAACCUACCUAUCAGAGGGGAAUAACCCGGCGAAAGUCGGACUAAUACCGCAUAAUACUAAAUUACUGCAUGGUAAUUUAUUUAAACAUUUAUGGCUUACAGAUGGGCAUGCGCAUGAUUAGCUAGUUGGAGAGGUAACGGCUCCCCAAGGCAACGAUCAUUAGGGGUUCUGAGAGGAAGGUCCCCCACACUGGUACUGAGACACGGACCAGACUCCUACGGGAGGCAGCAGUGAGGAAUAUUGGUCAAUGGACGAGAGUCUGAACCAGCCAAGUCGCGUGCAGGAAGAAUGUCCUAUUGGAUUGUAAACUGCUUUUGCAGGGGAAUAAAGUGCAUCACGUGUGAUGUUUUGUAUGUACUCUGCGAAUAAGGAUACGGCUAACUCCGUGCCAGCAGCUGC
Molecule: ribosomal RNA, 498 nt
Filed under: uncultured bacterium
Lineage: Bacteria
Description: bacterial SSU rRNA
Rfam family: Bacterial small subunit ribosomal RNA
Source: RNAcentral